UGAGGAACAUGACCUUCGGCGGGGGAUAGCCGGCCCAACGGCCGGGUAAUACCGCGUACGACCACAUGGGGACAUCCCUGAGUGGUGAAAGCAGCAAUGCGCCGAUGGAGUGCCUCGCGGCCUAUCAGCUAGUUGGUGAGGUAACGGCUCACCAAGGCGACGACGGGUAGCUGGCCUGAGAGGAUGGCCAGCCACAUUGGGACUGAGACACGGCCCAGACCUNUACGGGAG
This 231-nucleotide ribosomal RNA is filed under the name uncultured bacterium. RNAcentral describes it as "partial 16S ribosomal RNA". It matches the Rfam family "Bacterial small subunit ribosomal RNA", at positions 118 to 347 of the family's 1533-position model. The record is from RNAcentral.